RNAcentral lists this ribosomal RNA (372 nucleotides) under uncultured organism. RNAcentral describes it as "bacterial SSU rRNA". It matches the Rfam family "Bacterial small subunit ribosomal RNA", at positions 526 to 896 of the family's 1533-position model. The record is from RNAcentral.
CAGAGGUCUCAAGCGUUGUUCGGAUUCAUUGGGCGUAAAGGGUGCGUAGGUAGCGCGGUAAGUCGGGUGUGAAAUCUCGGAGCUUAACUCCGAAAUUGCAUUCGAUACUGCCGUGCUCGAGGACUGGAGAGGAGACUGGAAUUCAUGGUGUAGCAGUGAAAUGCGUAGAGAUCAUGAGGAAGACCAGUGGCGAAGGCGGGUCUCUGGACAGUUCCUGACACUGAGGCACGAAGGCCAGGGGAGCAAACGGUAUUAGAUACCCCGGUAGUCCUGGCAGUAAACGGUGCACGUUUGGUGUGGGAGGAUUCGACCCCUUCCGCGCCGGAGCUAACGCGUUAAACGUGCCGCCUGGGGAGUACGGUCGCAAGAUUA